UGGACACUGGAACUUCAUGGAGCUUCCUGGUGGAAGAAUGCUUCGUUAUGCCAGGAGGAAGGGAGCCUGGCUCCUCAGGGUGGGACCUCAGGAGCUCUGCCACAGGACCCUCCCACACCUCACCUCAGUUCCACAUUCUUCAGCCUUUCUCCAUCCAUAGAGAAACUUUCUCUGCUCAGCGCAUCAGAACACGUUAUGGAAUGAAGUGUUGCUGUUUUCCAGAACUACAAUAUAGUCAAGAGGACAAGCAAGAAGGUGCCAUCUUCAAAUCAGGAAACGGACCCUCACUGGACACUGAGUCUGCUUGUGCUUUGAUCUUGGAUUUCAU
Long non-coding RNA from Chinchilla lanigera (long-tailed chinchilla), 328 nucleotides. RefSeq lists it as uncharacterized. The record is from RefSeq and is a predicted model, not a curated record. The transcript has 3 exons. Lineage: Eukaryota; Metazoa; Chordata; Mammalia; Rodentia; Chinchillidae.